GACGAAUGCUGGCGGCGUGCUUAACACAUGCAAGUCGAACGGAAAGGCCCUGCUUUUGUGGGGUGCUCGAGUGGCGAACGGGUGAGUAACACGUGAGUAACCUGCCCUUGACUUUGGGAUAACUUCAGGAAACUGGGGCUAAUACCGGAUAGGAGCUCCUGCUGCAUGGUGGGGGUUGGAAAGUUUCGGCGGUUGGGGAUGGACUCGCGGCUUAUCAGAUUGUUGGUGGGGUAGUGGCUUACCAAGGCUUUGACGGGUAGCCGGCCUGAGAGGGUGACCGGCCACAUUGGGACUGAGAUACGGCCCAGACUCCUACGGGAGGCAGCAGUGGGGAAUAUUGCACAAUGGGCGGAAGCCUGAUGCAGCAACGCCGCGUGCGGGAUGACGGCCUUCGGGUUGUAAACCGCUUUCGCCUGUGACGAAGCGUGAGUGACGGUAAUGGGUAAAGAAGCACCGGCUAACUACGUG
Molecule: ribosomal RNA, 468 nt
Filed under: uncultured bacterium
Lineage: Bacteria
Description: partial 16S ribosomal RNA
Rfam family: Bacterial small subunit ribosomal RNA
Source: RNAcentral